This 460-nucleotide ribosomal RNA is filed under the name uncultured Methanolinea sp. RNAcentral describes it as "bacterial SSU rRNA". It matches the Rfam family "Archaeal small subunit ribosomal RNA", at positions 879 to 1338 of the family's 1478-position model. The record is from RNAcentral. Lineage: Archaea; Methanobacteriati; Methanobacteriota; Methanomicrobia; Methanomicrobiales; Methanoregulaceae.
CCACAACAGGUGGAGCCUGCGGUUUAAUCGGACUCAACGCCGGGAAUCUCACCGGAUAAGACAGCUGGAUGAUAGCCGGGCUGAAGACUCUGCUUGACUAGCUGAGAGGAGGUGCAUGGCCGUCGUCAGUUCGUACUGUGAAGCAUCCUGUUAAGUCAGGCAACGAGCGAGACCCACGCCAACAGUUGCCAGCAUGUCCUCCGGGAUGAUGGGGACACUGUUGGGACCGCCUCUGCUAAAGAGGAGGAAGGAAUGGGCAACGGUAGGUCAGCAUGCCCCGAAUUAUCCGGGCUACGCGCGGGCUACAAUGGUCAGGACAAUGGGUAUCAACACCGAAAGGUGAAGGCAAUCUCCUAAACCUGUCCUUAGUUCGGAUUGUGGGCUGCAACUCGCCCACAUGAAGCUGGAAUCUGUAGUAAUCGCGUCUCAAAAUGGCGCGGUGAAUAUGUCCCUGCUCCUU